UGUCGUGUUUGGAUUUUGGACCUUUGCCUGUUUCCGGAUUUCACUUUGGAUUACUUUGUUUCCGGACUUUGUUUCUUCAGCCUCUCAACCCGAGAUCUCACACCUGCAGAAGAAGAUACAGUUUCCACAAGUUUUCCCUCUGCUGCCACCCAAAGAAUCAGCUGUGCCCUGACCCCCUGCCAAUCCAGUACUCCGGCCCAUCGUAACAAUCCCAGCACAGAAGGACUCCGCCGGAUUACCAAGAAGUAAUUUCAAAUGUAGCAACUGAUGUGGCAGAUCAGAAAAUCUCAACUAGUGCAGUUUGUAUUAUGCAGGGGGAGAAGCUAACAGGCACUAGCAUUCACUGGAAGUAAGGCAGUUCAUGCUUCAUAAUAUUUCAAAAAUCUUUAGCUAAAGGCUACAUUUAGCUGAUAACUUAUGAAAUCAUUGUGGGUUUUACUUAAUUCACUGUGAUAAUUGUAUUGAAUUUAGAGUUCUGAACUGGCCUAAAAUCAAGACUGAAGGCGGCCUGUACCCACACCUUUCAGCCCCUGCUUGAGGCAGAGACUAUAUUUUGGUUGCUUUGGAAAGGCAAUAGACCAACACCGAAUAUGUCACGGCUGCCCACCUGUAUAAAACAUAUAUUGUACAAGCUAAUAAGCCAUAUAUUUAAAGGCACAUUGAGGUCAACGAACAGCAACACUAUAGCAUCUCAAAAUCUGACUUACCAGUUAGUGAAUAAACUUCACCUUUUUCCAGUAUCAACUAGAUGAAUGUGGCUGUUAAAUUCUAUGUUUUUCCCAGCUCAACUUAACAGUCUAAACUGUUUUAAUCAAGAACAGAACGUACAGGAAAUGCCAUUCUUUUUACUAUCUUAUGUUUGAAUAGCAUUGCAAUCUCUUCACUUUACGUAGCUAAUGAGUUUUUAAACUGUUGUCGCAGCAAAAUCAUAAUGUUUCCACAAUGGAAGGCUCUUCCCUGAAUCAUUUGGGAUUUUAAGAAGCUCCACUUUAGCAAGGUGUUGCACUCUUUUUCUUCCCACUUUCCAGUGGGCAUUGAAACACAUGACACACA
This is a long non-coding RNA of Micropterus salmoides (largemouth bass), 1053 nucleotides long. RefSeq lists it as uncharacterized. The record is from RefSeq and is a predicted model, not a curated record. Lineage: Eukaryota; Metazoa; Chordata; Actinopteri; Centrarchiformes; Centrarchidae. The transcript has 4 exons.